This 74-nucleotide transfer RNA is filed under the name Rhipicephalus microplus (southern cattle tick). RNAcentral's name for it is "tRNA-Lys". It matches the Rfam family "tRNA". Rfam says of the family: Transfer RNA (tRNA) molecules are approximately 80 nucleotides in length. Their secondary structure includes four short double-helical elements and three loops (D, anti-codon, and T loops). The record is from RNAcentral. Lineage: Eukaryota; Metazoa; Arthropoda; Arachnida; Ixodida; Ixodidae.
CGCCCGGCUAGCUCAGUCGGUAGAGCAUGAGACUCUUAAUCUCAGGGUCGUGGGUUCGAGCCCCCGAUGGGUGA